Molecule: ribosomal RNA, 482 nt
Filed under: uncultured bacterium
Lineage: Bacteria
Description: partial 16S ribosomal RNA
Rfam family: Bacterial small subunit ribosomal RNA
Source: RNAcentral
AUUGAACGCUGGCGGCAUGCCUUACACAUGCAAGUCGAACGGUAACAGGUCUUCGGAUGCUGACGAGUGGCGAACGGGUGAGUAAUACAUCGGAACGUGCCCGAUCGUGUGGGAUAACGAGGCGAAAGCUUUGCUAAUACCGCAUACGAUCUACGGAUGAAAGCGGGGGAUCUUCGGACCUCGCGCGGACGGAGCGGCCGAUGGCAGAUUAGGUAGUUGGUGGGAUAAAAGCUUACCAAGCCGACGAUCUGUAGCUGGUCUGAGAGGAUGAUCAGCCACACUGGGACUGAGACACGGCCCAGACUCCUACGGGAGGCAGCAGUGGGGAAUUUUGGACAAUGGGCGAAAGCCUGAUCCAGCCAUGCCGCGUGCAGGAUGAAGGCCUUUGGGUUGUAAACUGCUUUUGUACGGAACGAAAAGCCUCUUUCUAAUAAAGAGGGGUCAUGACGGUACCGUAAGAAUAAGCACCGGCUAACUACGUG